Non-coding RNA from Salmo salar (Atlantic salmon), 73 nucleotides. Lineage: Eukaryota; Metazoa; Chordata; Actinopteri; Salmoniformes; Salmonidae. The record is from Rfam.
UUCCCUGUGGCUCAGUUGGUAGAGCAUGGUGUUUGCAACGCCAGGGUUUUUGGGUUCGAUUCCCACGGGGGAC